GCUAUGAGAGAGAAAAUAUGAAGUUUUCUUUCCCCAGGCUCAGUCCAGGAGAGCAUAGGGCUUUUCCCCAUGAUGUACAGUCCCUUUCCACAACAUUGGAGAUGAAGCUGGUCGUGGAGUCUGCACCUGCACAUUCCUAUGACUUCCUAAGGUUCUGUGGACAAUGACUGAGAGAUAAACCAUGUAGGAAACAGCC
This is a small nucleolar RNA of Nycticebus coucang (slow loris), 196 nucleotides long. RefSeq annotates it as small nucleolar RNA SNORA73 family. Lineage: Eukaryota; Metazoa; Chordata; Mammalia; Primates; Lorisidae. The transcript has a single exon. The record is from RefSeq and is a predicted model, not a curated record.